Molecule: unclassified non-coding RNA, 345 nt
Filed under: soil metagenome
Description: partial contains 5.8S ribosomal RNA, internal transcribed spacer 2, and large subunit ribosomal RNA
Rfam family: 5.8S ribosomal RNA (bases 1-119)
Source: RNAcentral
GAUGAAGAACGUAGCGAAAUGCGAUACGUAAUGUGAACUGCAAAUUCAGUGAAUCAUCGAGUCUUUGAACGCACAUUGCGCCCCCUGGUAUUCCGGGGGGCAUGCCUGUCCGAGCGUCAUUGCUGCCCUCAAGCACGGCUUGUGUGUUGGGCCCCGUCCUCCGAUCCCGGGGGACGGGCCCGAAAGGCAGCGGCGGCACCGCGUCCGGUCCUCGAGCGUAUGGGGCUUUGUCACCCGCUCUGUAGGCCCGGCCGGCGCUUGCCGAUCAACCCAAAUUUUUAUCCAGGUUGACCUCGGAUCAGGUAGGGAUACCCGCUGAACUUAAGCAUAUCAAUAAGCGGAGGA